RNAcentral lists this ribosomal RNA (468 nucleotides) under uncultured bacterium. RNAcentral's name for it is "partial 16S ribosomal RNA". It matches the Rfam family "Bacterial small subunit ribosomal RNA", at positions 28 to 507 of the family's 1533-position model. The record is from RNAcentral.
GACGAACGCUGGCGGCGUGCUUAACACAUGCAAGUCGAACGGAAAGGCCCUGCUUUUGUGGGGUGCUCGAGUGGCGAACGGGUGAGUAACACGUGAGUAACCUGCCCUUGACUUUGGGAUAACUUCAGGAAACUGGGGCUACUACCGGAUAGGAGCUCCUGCUGCAUGGUGGGGGUUGGAAAGUUUCGGCGGUUGGGGAUGGACUCGCGGCUUAUCAGCUUGUUGGUGGGGUAGUGGCUUACCAAGGCUUUGACGGGUAGCCGGCCUGAGAGGGUGAACGGCCACAUUGGGACUGCGAGACGGCCCAGACUCCUACGGGAGGCAGCAGUGGGGAAUAUUGCACAAUGGGCGGAAGUCUGAUGCAGCAACGCCGCGUGCGGGAUGACGGCCUUCGGGUUGUAAACCGCUUUCGCCUGUGACGAAGCGUGAGUGACGGUAAUGGGUAAAGAAGCACCGGCUAACUACGUG